CUGCUCUCUUUCUGUGUGUGUGUGUGUGUGUGUGUGUGAAGGAGCCAGAGAAACACACUUGUGUAGACAGAUGUGGAGUUUGCCAGUAGGUGGAGCCCUAGUGCUUUCUCUCUCUCUCUCUCUCUCUCUCGCAAACACACACACACACCGUCACACACUCUCAGUUCUCCAUCUUUCUCUUUCUCAGUCUCUGUCUUUCUCUCUCUUCAUUUGUCUUUCUUUUUUCACUUGCUUUGUCGCUGUCUUCAAGUCUUAUUUCUCUAUCUGUGUCUGUCUCUCUUUCCUUAUGUCUCUUUCUCUCUGUCUCUAUCACUUCAUCACAGUGUUUAAUUCACUUAAUCAUGUCAUUUUAAAAAAAGUGUGUUGGGAUGUAGUUGUGUGUGUGUGUCCUACAGGUACACACACAUACACACUGUGAAUUGUGGAUUUAACACUUUCAUAAUUACUAUUUACACACGUCUUAAUAGCUGAGUGUAUUUAACACACUGACGCUCACAGUUUAACACGUCCUUAGUCAUUCAGGUGUGUGUGUGUGUGUGUGUGUGUGCGCGAUCUCACUGUUCCUCCGUGUGUGAAGGUGAACACAGUGGUUCUAACAUACAGCUGUGGUUCUGUCCCAUUUACUGUUAGAUUCAUAAAAAUGCAAUAAAAAAUCAAGACAGAAAAGAAAAACUGUACAAGCCACACCCACACAAGGCAGCCAUAGCAGUCAGGCCACACCCACAAGAGUCAACCGUUUUGUAUUGGCCAUGCCCACUGUAGACGUGUGAAUGGCAGGUAACAUUGCUGUCAUUAGGGAUAAGGAGACAGCUGUGAUGGUGGGAGGAGACAGACAGAAGAGUGACGAGGUGAGAUGGUAGACUUGUCUGCUUUUUAAGUUCCUGCCGGAGUUUUUAGUGCAGAUUGAUGUCAUUACUGGAUUCUGUUUAAGGGGUCAUAACCCCGAGUGUCACUCCUGGGAGAACCUCCUUCUCCUCCUCCUCUCUGUUCAGAUUCUCUGCUUCCUGUUUUCAUUUCUGUCAUUUGGCAAACGUUCUUAUCCAGGCGACGUACAAAAGUGCUUUAAAGUCUGUAUCACUGAAAAUAUUAACACUGGGUCAGUAGGUCACAGACUCAGGAGAGCAUCCACAUAAACACUGAGGGGUUUUUUAAAUAUACAUAUACAACAUAUAACAAUGCAUAAAAACAGGUAAAAAUAAUAAGUGUUUCAGGAAGAGGUAGGUCGUCAGGUGAAGACGGUCAGUGACUCGGCUGUUCGGACAUCUGGGGGAAGUUCACUCCACCACCUCGGUGCAGAGAAGAGUCUGUAUGUAGACCUACCUCUGACCCUGAGAGAUGGUGGACCAGUCCAGCUGUGCUAGUGGACCUGAGGGAGCGAGGCUUCAGGAAGCCAGUGGAGGAGCAGCAGUGGGGUGGUGUGGGAGAACUUAGACUACAUGAAGACAAGUCACAAGGCUGCAUUUUGGAUCAUUUGCAGUGGACAAACUGCAUUCAGAGGAAGACCUGCCAGUAGAGAGCUGCAGAGAAGUCCAGUCUCCAAAUGACCAGAGACUGAACAAGCACCUGAGCAUCCUGUGUGGAUAGAAAUGGUCAAAUCCUUCUGAUGUUCUUCUGAUCUGAAACCGACAUGAGCGCAUCACAU
Long non-coding RNA from Hemibagrus wyckioides, 1642 nucleotides. RefSeq lists it as uncharacterized. The transcript has 2 exons. The record is from RefSeq and is a predicted model, not a curated record. Lineage: Eukaryota; Metazoa; Chordata; Actinopteri; Siluriformes; Bagridae.